RNAcentral lists this ribosomal RNA (253 nucleotides) under uncultured bacterium. RNAcentral describes it as "partial 16S ribosomal RNA". It matches the Rfam family "Bacterial small subunit ribosomal RNA", at positions 524 to 776 of the family's 1533-position model. The record is from RNAcentral.
UACGUAGGAUGCAAGCGUUGUCCGGAAUUAUUGGGCGUAAAGCGUCCGUAGGUGGCCAUGCAAGUCUGCUGUCAAAGCAUGGAGCUUAACUCCAUAGAGGCAGUGGAAACUGAAUAGCUAGAGUUCGGUAGGGGUAGCGGGAAUUCCCAGUGUAGCGGUGAAAUGCGUAGAGAUUGGGAAGAACAUCGGUGGCGAAAGCGCGCUACUGGGCCGAAACUGACACUGAGGGACGAAAGCUAGGGGAGCGAAAGGG